GGAGAUUUAGCUCAGUGGCAGAAGUGCCUGCCUGGCAAGCACGAGGUUGUGAGUUCGAUCCCCGCUACCUCCC
RNAcentral lists this transfer RNA (73 nucleotides) under Cavia porcellus (domestic guinea pig). It matches the Rfam family "tRNA". Rfam says of the family: Transfer RNA (tRNA) molecules are approximately 80 nucleotides in length. Lineage: Eukaryota; Metazoa; Chordata; Mammalia; Rodentia; Caviidae. The record is from Rfam by way of RNAcentral.